RNAcentral lists this microRNA precursor (192 nucleotides) under Oryza sativa Indica Group (long-grained rice). Its description in RNAcentral is "MIR812 microRNA precursor family". It matches the Rfam family "MIR812 microRNA precursor family". Lineage: Eukaryota; Viridiplantae; Streptophyta; Magnoliopsida; Poales; Poaceae. The record is from Rfam by way of RNAcentral.
AAAAAAAUAAACCUUAAGUUUUCGUGUGACUGCUCGUUUUAUAUGAAUUUUUUUUAUAACUACUAUUUUCAUUGUUGUUAGAUGAUAAAACAUAAUUAAUACUUUAUGCGUGACUUGUCUUUUUAAUUUUUUUUAUAUUUUUUUCAAAUAAAACAGACGAUCAAACGUUUAACACGGAAACCCGAGUUUAUU